AUACGGAGGAUGCAAGCGUUAUCCGGAUUUAUUGGGUUUAAAGGGUGCGUAGGCGGUUUGCUAAGCGGGAGGUGAAAUGCCGGCGCUCAACGUCGGAAGUGCCUCCCGAACUGGUGGACUUGAAUGACUCUGCCGUGGGAGGAAUGUGUAGUGUAGCGGUGAAAUGCUUAGAGAGUACACAGAACACCGAUUGCGAAGGCAUCUCACGAAGGGUUGAUUGACGCUGAGGCACGAAAGCGUGGGGAUCAAACAGGAUUAGAGACCCUGGUAGUCCACGCAGUAAACGAUGAUGGCUAACCGCUGGUUUAUUCGGAUCAGUGGCCAAGCGAAAGCGAUAAGCAAUCCACCUGGGGAGUACGACCGCAAGGUUGAAACUCAAAGGAAUUGACGGGG
RNAcentral lists this ribosomal RNA (393 nucleotides) under uncultured bacterium. Its description in RNAcentral is "partial 16S ribosomal RNA". It matches the Rfam family "Bacterial small subunit ribosomal RNA", at positions 523 to 918 of the family's 1533-position model. The record is from RNAcentral.